GAGAAAUUCAUCAAAAAGAACAGGGAAAAGCUGUCAGGCACAGCUCAGCCAGGAGGCAGAAACACAGCCGCAGGGGGAUGCUGCGCUGACACAUCUCCUGGAAAAAAAGCCCAACAGCCUGCUAGACAGGUUCUGCGACCUCGACAAAAGAUCCUUACUUCACCCUCACAGAGACCAAAUAGCGCCCCCAACAGGACAGGAGGAAGAGGUGUGUUGCCUGAGAAGUCAUGCAAACCUGCUGUCGGAGGCAGAGGUCGAGCCCCUGUGGCAAACAGGGGAAAUGCUCAAAAAUUGCCAUGGAAACAAGGCUCCUGCAGAUCAAGCCCCACCCCAAUCAAAAGCCCCUCCCCUUCCAGGAAAACAGAUCCCGCUGACAGAACUUCCACAUCUCCUCCUGUGAGCAAAAGCCCCACCCUGUCCAAGAAAAGCCCCUCCCCUUCAGCAGAGAGACCAUUCAGAA
Long non-coding RNA from Megalops cyprinoides (Indo-Pacific tarpon), 460 nucleotides. RefSeq lists it as uncharacterized. Lineage: Eukaryota; Metazoa; Chordata; Actinopteri; Elopiformes; Megalopidae. The record is from RefSeq and is a predicted model, not a curated record. The transcript has 3 exons.